GAUCAUGGCUCAGGAUGAACGCUAGCUACAGGCUUAACACAUGCAAGUCGAAGGGCAGCGGGAUUGAAGCUUGCUUCGAUUGCCGGCGACCGGCGCACGGGUGAGUAACGCGUAUCCAACCUUCCGUACACUCAGGGAUAGCCUUUCGAAAGAAAGAUUAAUACCUGAUGGUAUGAUGAGAUUGCAUGAUAUCAUCAUUAAAGAUUUAUCGGUGUACGAUGGGGA
RNAcentral lists this ribosomal RNA (225 nucleotides) under uncultured bacterium. Its description in RNAcentral is "partial 16S ribosomal RNA". It matches the Rfam family "Bacterial small subunit ribosomal RNA", at positions 15 to 231 of the family's 1533-position model. The record is from RNAcentral.